RNAcentral lists this ribosomal RNA (450 nucleotides) under uncultured bacterium. RNAcentral's name for it is "partial 16S ribosomal RNA". It matches the Rfam family "Bacterial small subunit ribosomal RNA", at positions 354 to 796 of the family's 1533-position model. The record is from RNAcentral.
GUGGGGAAUUUUGGACAAUGGGCGAAAGCCUGAUCCAGCCAUGCCGCGUGCAGGAUGAAGGCCUUCGGGUUGUAAACUGCUUUUGUACGGAACGAAAAGACUCCUUCUAAUAAAGGGGGUCCAUGACGGUACCGUAAGAAUAAGCACCGGCUAACUACGUGCCAGCAGCCGCGGUAAUACGUAGGGUGCAAGCGUUAAUCGGAAUUACUGGGCGUAAAGCGUGCGCAGGCGGUUAUAUAAGACAGAUGUGAAAUCCCCGGGCUAAACCUGGGAACUGCAUUUGUGACUGUAAAGCUAGAGUACGGUAGAGGGGGGUAGAAUUCCGCGUGUAGCAGUGAAAUGCGUAGAUAUGCGGAGGAACACCGAUGGCGAAGGCAAUCCCCUGGACCUGUACUGACGCUCAUGCACGAAAGCGUGGGGAGCAAACAGGAUUAGAUACCCGGGUAGUCC